This 465-nucleotide ribosomal RNA is filed under the name uncultured Klebsiella sp. Its description in RNAcentral is "bacterial SSU rRNA". It matches the Rfam family "Bacterial small subunit ribosomal RNA", at positions 338 to 795 of the family's 1533-position model. Lineage: Bacteria; Pseudomonadati; Pseudomonadota; Gammaproteobacteria; Enterobacterales; Enterobacteriaceae. The record is from RNAcentral.
CCUACGGGGGGCACCAGUGGGGAAUAUUGCACAAUGGGCGCAAGCCUGAUGCAGCCAUGCCGCGUGUGUGAAGAAGGCCUUCGGGUUGUAAAGCACUUUCAGCGGGGAGGAAGGCGGUGAGGUUAAUAACCUCAUCGAUUGACGUUACCCGCAGAAGAAGCACCGGCUAACUCCGUGCCAGCAGCCGCGGUAAUACGGAGGGUGCAAGCGUUAAUCGGAAUUACUGGGCGUAAAGCGCACGCAGGCGGUCUGUCAAGUCGGAUGUGAAAUCCCCGGGCUCAACCUGGGAACGUCAUUCGAAACUGGCAGGCUAGAGUCUUGUAGAGGGGGGUAGAAUUCCAGGUGUAGCGGUGAAAUGCGUAGAGAUCUGGAGGAAUACCGGUGGCGAAGGCGCCCCCCUGGACAAAGACUGACGCUCAGGUGCGAAAGCGUGGAGAGCAAACAGGAUUAGAUACCCGUGUAGUC